UACAGAGGGGGCAAGCGUUGUUCGGAAUUACUGGGCGUAAAGGGCGCGUAGGCGGCCCUCUAAGUCAGACGUGAAAUCCCUCGGCUCAACCGGGGAACUGCGUCUGAGACUGGAAGGCUUGAAUUCGGGAGAGGGAUGCGGAAUUCCAGGUGUAGCGGUGAAAUGCGUAGAUAUCUGGAGGAACACCGGUGGCGAAGGCGGCAUCCUGGACCGAGAUUGACGCUGAUGCGCGAAAGCCAGGGGAGCAAACGGG
Molecule: ribosomal RNA, 253 nt
Filed under: uncultured bacterium
Lineage: Bacteria
Description: partial 16S ribosomal RNA
Rfam family: Bacterial small subunit ribosomal RNA
Source: RNAcentral